Molecule: ribosomal RNA, 787 nt
Filed under: uncultured Verrucomicrobiota bacterium
Lineage: Bacteria; Pseudomonadati; Verrucomicrobiota
Description: bacterial SSU rRNA
Rfam family: Bacterial small subunit ribosomal RNA
Source: RNAcentral
CAAGUCGAACGGGAGUUUGUUUAUAGCAAUAUGAGUGAACUCUAGUGGCGAAAGGGUGCGUAACACGUGGCUACCUACCUCGAAGUUGGGGAUAGCUCGGCGAAAGCCGGAUUAAUACCGAAUGUGACCGUAAGGUCAAAGUUGGGGAUCGUAAGACCUGACGCUUUGAGAUGGGGCUGCGGCCUAUCAGGUAGUUGGCGGGGUAAUGGCCCACCAAGCCUAAGACGGGUAGCUGGUCUGAGAGGACGACCAGCCACACUGGAACUGAGACACGGUCCAGACACCUACGGGUGGCAGCAGUCGAGGAUUUUUCUCAAUGGGGGAAACCCUGAAGGAGCGACGCCGCGUGAGGGAUGAAGGUCUUCGGAUUGUAAACCUCUGUCAUCUGGGAACAAUGUAAUCUACCUAACACGUGGAUUAUUGAUAGUACCGGAAGAGGAAGCAGUGGCUAACUCUGUGCCAGCAGCCGCGGUAAUACAGAGACUGCAAACGUUGUUCGGAUUCAUUGGGCGUAAAGGGUGCGCAGGCGGUGUGCUAAGUCGGAUGUGAAAUCUCACAGCCUAACUGUGAUAGGUCAUUCGAAACUGGCAUGCUAGAGGACUGGAGAGGAGACUGGAAUGGUCGGUGUAGCGGUGAAAUGCGUAGAGAUCGACCAGAACACCGGUGGCGAAGGCGGGUCUCUGGACAGUUCCUGACGCUCAGGCACGAAAGCCAGGGGAGCAAACGGGAUUAGAUACCCCGGUAGUCCUGGCCCUAAACGGUGUUCACUUGGUGUGCGGGGAGUCGA